RNAcentral lists this ribosomal RNA (135 nucleotides) under uncultured eukaryote. RNAcentral's name for it is "partial small subunit ribosomal RNA". The record is from RNAcentral.
CUUUCAACAGGCGCCAAUUUUCUGCUUUCACCAAGUACCAAUAUCAUGCGUGACCUGCUGCAGAAGUUUGCACGCAGGGACAUGCCUGAAGGCAAGCAGAUCAAACUUCAAAAACUGUUUAUUGUGCUGCUGGGU